This 73-nucleotide transfer RNA is filed under the name Nitrospirillum amazonense. RNAcentral's name for it is "tRNA-Met". It matches the Rfam family "tRNA". Rfam says of the family: Transfer RNA (tRNA) molecules are approximately 80 nucleotides in length. Their secondary structure includes four short double-helical elements and three loops (D, anti-codon, and T loops). Further hydrogen bonds mediate the characteristic L-shaped molecular structure. tRNAs have two regions of fundamental functional importance: the anti-codon, which is responsible for specific mRNA codon recognition, and the 3' end, to which the tRNAs corresponding amino acid is attached (by aminoacyl-tRNA synthetases). tRNAs cope with the degeneracy of the genetic code in two manners: having more than one tRNA (with a specific anti-codon) for a particular amino acid; and 'wobble' base-pairing, i.e. permitting non-standard base-pairing at the 3rd anti-codon position. Lineage: Bacteria; Pseudomonadati; Pseudomonadota; Alphaproteobacteria; Rhodospirillales; Azospirillaceae. RNAcentral also lists the same sequence under 6 other names. The record is from RNAcentral.
GCGGGGUGGAGCAGCCCGGUAGCUCGUCAGGCUCAUAACCUGAAGGCCGCAGGUUCAAAUCCUGCCCCCGCAA